UAGUCCAUGAACAAUUGGAUUUGUAGUCCAUGAACAUCUGGAGAGCCGCAGGUUGCAGACCCCUGAACUAAUGGAAUUGUGUGCUUCAAUCAUUGACCAUGAGACCACUAUUGAGUGUGUUUCUCCGCUACCUUCAGUCUGAGGAGAUCAGGUUCGCCACCACGGAGGUAGGAUAUAAAUGUUUUAAUUAAAUUAUAGCUUUGGCGAUUUCAUUUCAAAAGGGGGGGAAGGGGAGAACCAAGCAUGUCGGUAAAACGUACAGUAUGUACCACCUAUGGAAGAGAUACAGACAUGUUGAACUGUAUAUAGACUUCUUUUUUAAAGAGGACACUGUUGAGCAGGAUCCCCAACGUUUUCGAGCCUGGGCAUUUUGGAAUGAUGACACAGGGUGCUGGGCACCACCAUAAAAUGGCAGAUGCAGAGGUGGAGCUGACCAUUAAAUCUUGACUGAGGGUAUGUAUAACUCUCAUAGUAAAUCUUCAGCAUUUCGGGCAGUGAAGAUCCUUGAUGCCAGCACCUGCCAAAACAAUGUUUAAAAAAAUCUGUACAACCGGUUGGAAGAGUCGCUGUGUGAAGCUUCCUUGAGCCUACCUUCCAUUUUCUGAAACACUUGGCAGAUGCUGGGGGCGGAGCGAGGGGGAAAUGCUCCUGGGGCAUUGCCACGCCCCUGCACCGGUGCACACCCAGGGUGUUGCGUUCCCCGCCGUCCCAUUGGUGCUGUACCACUGGCAGAUGCUAAAAAAGGUAUUGGGUGGGCAUCCAAGGACAUAAUCAGGACUCCUGCUAUUGGCAGUUGGAUCAUCUUUGUUGAUCAGGAUGGUGCUGAGAGAUCUAUCUAAAUGUGUUAAGUUGGCCUUAAUCCUCAGACUGUGAAAAGGUAGGAAAGCGGUGCUGUGGAGCGAAGGUUGUGCUGAGCGAUGCCUUUCAUGCACCCACAUUUGACUGUUCGUGGGGUAGGAUUCAGUGCUGAAUGGGCCUCUGGUGUAAUCAGAUAGAAUCUGUAUUCUUAUGCCUACAUGUGAAUAAAGUGCCUUACUCAAAAACUUGAUGGGGAAUUUUAUUGUUGCCACAAAGGGCAUAGUUGACUCCUUUUUUGUGGUACCCAGACUCUCAUUCACUUAACCAAAUUACAGGGGCAACCCUAAGUAGUAUUAGACCAGUGGUUCUCAACCUUCCUAAUGCCGCGACCCUUUAAUAUAGUUCCUCAUGUUGUGGUGACCCCAACAUUUAUCCAUUUUGCAGAUGGAGAACACUGAUGCAGAGAGUCUUAGGCGACCCCUGUGAAAGGGUCGUUCGACCCCCAGGUUGAGAACCACUGAAUUAGAACCUUUCUAGCCCAUUGAGUUGAUUUAGAAGGGUUUAACUCUGCUUACAAUGGCACUGUUAGGACCGCCACUUUACUCUUAAAAACACAUUUUGCUUCCUUAAGGCUUUGUUCUCACUUGUCUGAAGUCUAAGUCUGCUAAGAAGUACUUGUAUUGUGCCCUCAAAAGGUAACCCCCUGGUUGUGUGAAUGGGCAUCCCCAUGUGAGGCACUUGGCUUUCCUUUUCUACAACUUAGUUGUCGAGUGCGACGGGUGAAUUAAUCUCAGUUAAAUGAAUUUGGUUUAUGUAUUCUGUGCCGAUGUGAUAUGGGGUAGUUGCCUUUCAUGUCAGUUGUACGUUUUUGGCUGUUUUUUUUUUUUUAAAGAUGUGUGUCUUUCCUAGAACUCAUAUUUUUGAGGAACUGUCAUAGGACGUGAAAACAGAGAAGCAGCAUGAAUUGCUGCCGCCUCUCCUCCCACCCCCACCCCACCCCCUCCACGCCCGCCA
Molecule: long non-coding RNA, 1812 nt
Organism: Sphaerodactylus townsendi
Lineage: Eukaryota; Metazoa; Chordata; Lepidosauria; Squamata; Sphaerodactylidae
Exons: 2
Source: RefSeq, a predicted model, not a curated record